UGGGGAAUAUUGCACAAUGGGGGAAACCCUGAUGCAGCGACGCCGCGUGAACGAAGAAGGUAUUCGUAUCGUAAAGUUCUGUCCUAUGGGAAGAUAAUGACAGUACCAUAGAAGAAAGCUCCGGCUAAAUACGUGCCAGCAGCCGCGGUAAUACGUAUGGAGCGAGCGUUGUCCGGAAUUAUUGGGCGUAAAGGGUACGCAGGCGGUUUAAUAAGUCGAAUGUUAAAGAUCGGGGCUCAACCCCGUGAAGCAUUGGAAACUGAUAAACUUGAGUAGUGGAGAGGAAAGUGGAAUUCCUAGUGUAGUGGUGAAAUACGUAGAUAUUAGGAGGAAUACCAGUAGCGAAGGCGACUUUCUGGACACAAACUGACGCUGAGGUACGAAAGCGUGGGGAGCAAACAGG
RNAcentral lists this ribosomal RNA (403 nucleotides) under bacterium. RNAcentral's name for it is "partial 16S ribosomal RNA". It matches the Rfam family "Bacterial small subunit ribosomal RNA", at positions 355 to 776 of the family's 1533-position model. The record is from RNAcentral.